UUCCUACGGGAGGCAGCAGUGGGGGAUAUUGCACAAUGGGGGGAACCCUGAUGCAGCGACGCCGCGUGGGUGAAGAAGCGUCUCGGUGCGUAAAGCUCUGUCAGCAGGGAAGAAAAUGACGGUACCUGAAGAAGAAGCCCCGGCUAACUACGUGCCAGCAGCCGCGGUAAUACGUAGGGGGCAAGCGUUAUCCGGAUUUACUGGGUGUAAAGGGGGCGUAGACGGCGAUGCAAGUCAGGAGUGAAAGACCGGGGCGCAACCACGGGACUGCUCUUGGAACUGCGAGGCUGGAGUGCAGGAGGGGG
Molecule: ribosomal RNA, 305 nt
Filed under: uncultured bacterium
Lineage: Bacteria
Description: bacterial SSU rRNA
Rfam family: Bacterial small subunit ribosomal RNA
Source: RNAcentral